Long non-coding RNA from Hevea brasiliensis (rubber tree), 409 nucleotides. RefSeq lists it as uncharacterized. Lineage: Eukaryota; Viridiplantae; Streptophyta; Magnoliopsida; Malpighiales; Euphorbiaceae. The transcript has 3 exons. The record is from RefSeq and is a predicted model, not a curated record.
ACCCCCGUGUUAUGGGCUUCGUGUAGGUAUCCUCGAUUCGCGGAAAUUCGACAGUUGACCGGGUCUGCAAAUUUCGGGCCAGACAGACCCGUGACCGGAAAAGUCUCCGAAUUGGGCCGAGGUUUUGGCUAGCCCCCCAUUGUCAGAUGUCCCGAGCGCGUCCCCGAAGUCGGAAUCGGCAAAGGUGAGCCGGGACAACCUUCUUCCUCCGCCCAACCGCCACAGUAAUUUGUCGUCAAGUCUGCCACAGGAGGAUAUUUUGUUCUGGGUUAACCUGCCUUUUUACCUCGCAGGUUGUUUAUCAAUAUUGUGUAAUUUUAAUUACUCCUAGAAUUUCCGCAUGUGUUAGCAGUAAUUAUUUGAAAUUGGUCUGUAAUAUUAUAUUCAUGUUGGACCUGUAAACUUAAUA